CCGAGAAUGGGCGGAGCCUCCGGGAGUGCGCCCUCCCCGCACAUGCGCCCUGACAGCCCAACAAUGGCGGCGCCCGCGGAGUCGCUGAGGAGGCGGAAGACUGGGUACUCGGACCCGGAGCCUGAGUCGCCGCCCGCGCCGGGGCGUGACCCCGCAGGCUCUCCGGCCCAUCUCCACACGGGCACCUUCUGGCUGACCCGGAUCGUGCUCCUGAAGGCCCUAGCCUUCGUGUACUUCGUGGCAUUCCUGGUGGCUUUCCAUCAGAACAAGCAGCUCAUCGGUGACAGGGGGCUGCUUCCCUGCAGAGUGUUCCUGAAGAACUUCCAGCAGUACUUCCAGGACAGGACGAGCUGGGAAGUCUUCAGCUACAUGCCCACCAUCCUCUGGCUGAUGGACUGGUCAGACAUGAACUCCAACCUGGACUUGCUGGCUCUUCUCGGACUGGGCAUCUCGUCUUUCGUACUGAUCACGGGCUGCGCCAACAUGCUUCUCAUGGCUGCCCUGUGGGGCCUCUACAUGUCCCUGGUCAAUGUGGGCCAUGUCUGGUACUCUUUCGGAUGGGAGUCCCAGCUUCUGGAGACGGGGUUCCUGGGGAUCUUCCUGUGCCCUCUGUGGACGCUGUCGAGGCUGCCCCAGCACACCCCCACAUCCCGGAUUGUCCUGUGGGGCUUCCGGUGGCUGAUCUUCAGGAUCAUGCUGGGAGCAGGCCUGAUCAAGAUCCGGGGGGACCGGUGCUGGCGAGACCUCACCUGCAUGGAUUUCCACUACGAGACCCAGCCGGUGCCCAAUCCUGUGGCGUACUACCUGCACCACUCACCCUGGUGGUUCCACCGCUUCGAGACGCUCAGCAACCACUUCAUCGAGCUCCUGGUGCCCUUCUUCCUCUUCCUCGGCCGGCGGGCGUGCAUCAUCCACGGGGUGCUGCAGAUCCUGUUCCAGGCCGUCCUCAUCAUCAGCGGGAACCUCAGCUUCCUGAACUGGCUGACUAUGGUGCCCAGCCUAGCCUGCUUUGAUGACGCCACCCUGGGAUUCUUGUUCCCCUCUGGGCCGGGCAGCCUGAAGGACCGAGUUCUGCAGAUGCAGAGGGACAUCCGAGGGGCCCGGCCCAAGCCCAGAUUCGGCUCCGUGGUGCGGCGUGCAGCCAACGUCUCGCUGGGCGUCCUGCUGGCCUGGCUCAGCAUGCCCGUGGUCCUCAACUUGCUGAGCUCCAGGCAGGUCAUGAACACCCACUUCAACUCUCUUCACAUCGUCAACACUUACGGGGCCUUCGGAAGCAUCACCAAGGAGCGGGCGGAGGUGAUCCUGCAGGGCACAGCCAGCUCCAACGCCAGCGCCCCCGACGCCGUGUGGGAGGACUACGAGUUCAAGUGCAAGCCAGGUGACCCCAGCAGACGGCCCUGCCUCAUCUCCCCGUACCACUACCGCCUGGACUGGCUGAUGUGGUUCGCGGCCUUCCAGCUACGCGGGAGGAGGAAGGAUCGAUUGAGCCCAACCGUUGCAGCCUCAAAUGAUGGCAGCGUUGCAUUCCAGUCUGGGGGACAGAGCCAGACCCUGUCUCAGCGAACAGGAAAGAAGGAAUCCCCAGGGCUGGGGUUAGCAGAGGCACCCAUGGACAGAGCUGCUGUUUCUGUCCUCCCGGUCCUGUCUCAGCCACCAGAAAACUGAGCCUCAGGGAGGCAAGGCCCAGACAGAGGGUGCUGGGGUGGACAGGCUCCAAGGCACCUGGCCAGGGGAGCAAAGCCAGCGGCCGACAUGGGAAUGAGUGGUCAGGGCUACAAGGAGCACGCGAAGCAGGCAGCCCCUUAAGGGGACCCCAGCCAAAGAACUGGAGUGCGGCUGCCCAGGGAACACACGUCCAGGAAAGCCUCAGGAGGGAGUGGAGGGCACAGCCGAGCGUCUGGAGGGGCUGUGCCUGGACAGCGAGUGGCACAGCCGUCUCCAGCCCGACCUCUCCUCCCAGACGUACGAGCACAACGACUGGAUCAUCCACCUAGCUGGCAAGCUCCUGGCCAGCGAUGCCGAGGCCUUGUCCCUGCUGGCACACAACCCCUUCGCGGGCAGGCCCCCGCCCAGCAGCCUUCAGAGCCCCCCAGCCCCCACCCCAGAUCGCAGCCUCCUCGGUGCCUGGGGACCCUGGAGCUGGCCCAGAGGAAGGUUUGCCAUCAUCAGGUCGUGACGGAAGCCUCUUCUGGCCAAGCGCACAGUCGGAUCAUCUGUUUCUCAGCCAGGAGGUGCUGGAAAAAGUAAUCAUGUCAGAGCAGCUUCAGGUCCAUCCAUGAGUCCCAAAGUCUACCUGAAAGGAUGGAUACUGUGAAAACCAAGUGUGAAAAGCAGUAACUAUUUUAUAUGAACCAGUAAUGAGUGAACAUUUAGGGAAAACAUUAUUGAACACUGCCCCACGGCACAUCUCUCCCGUCUCCAUGAUACACGUGUUUGGCAGCUGGAGCAGGUGGUACCAUGACAGGCUGUGACUAACCGUGGGCCUGCAUUUAGUUCAUCAUCGACUUUAAAACUGGAAGAUGGAGCAGACACUUAUCCCUGUUCCUCCCACUAAGUGCAACCAAGAUCCCUGGACGUUAUACAUAAAACAGGAAGACUGAAGGUGAGAGAAGAGAGCCACCAGCAGGGCCCUCGGGACGGAGCCACAGCCCCAAAAUGGCGGUGAUCGCCUAGGAUUGCUUUCGGCCUCAUUUUCUAGACUUGGAGGUGAGGAAACUGGAAACCCAGUAAUGCCAGCAGAUGCAGACAAGAAACACCUCAACAAAAAUCUGCUCUCUCUGACUAAAGGGCCAGAAAAGAGCAGCCUAGCAAGACAGGAAAUUUACAGAAAAUAAUCACCACUCCAGGCAACACCACAGAAAAAACCAUGGCCCCACCCACACCAGCAAGGUAUGGAGUAGGGAGCCUGGACUCUCCUCCAAACGGCUCACUGGGGUGCUACCAGAGGAGGCCAAAUAGGAAGCUGAGAUUUUCAUCCAAGUGGGCAGGAAGGACCCCCCGCUUCUGUGGUAUCAGUGGAGACCACAGGAGGAGCCUGGACUCCCCCAACCCCUGGCAGUACUGAAGGGCUCCUCCCCUCCAGAGUGGUAUUACGUAAUAGCUACCAGAAAGUCAGGACCUUCACCACCAGCCAGCCAGCAGUGACUAGGCCGCCACCCCCGCCAUAGUCAUGGAGGCCUAGUGCAGAGCCACGACUCCCACCCUACCCAGAAACAACAAGGAAUACCCCCAAUGCGUCCACUGGAGUUUUACCCCAACCCGGCAGGAGCAAGGCAAUACCCCUGUCUCUACCAGCAUGAGGUCAGAAGAAGUCAUCUAAAGCAGAAGGUUUAAAUAAGAUCCAAAAUCUCCUAAUACACAAAAUGUUCAGUUUUCAGUGGAAAAAUUACUUAUCACAGCAGGAAACAGGAAGACAUUGAACUGGUGAAAAAGGGCAGUCGACAGAUGAUAGCACCAAGAUGAGAGAGGUAUUAGAGUGACUUCACAGAGAUGUGAAUGCAGCCGUCGAAAACGCAUGCAGUAAGCAAUUAUGAACACAACUGAUAAAAAAUACAGCCUCAGCAAAGAAAUAGGUUUUUUAAAGAACCAAAUGAAAAGUUUAGAAGUGAAAAAUAUAACUGACACAAAACACUCGACAUCUGAAUGGCAAGGACAGAGGAAAGAAUCAAUAAACUUAAACAUAGAAAGUACCCAGUGGGAACAAGUGAGAGGACAUAGACGGGGAAAAUCAGCAAGAGCCCCAGGGAUCUGUGGGACUGAGACUGUAACAAAAGAUCCAGAAUUCAUGUCAUCAGAGUCCUAGGAGGAAGAGAGAGUGAGCUUUAGGGCUGAAAAUGUACUUGGAGAAAUAAGAACUGAAAACUUCCCAAAUUUGGCAAAACGGACAAACCUACCGAGUCAAUAAACUGAGCAAACCCUAAACAGGAAAAACCCAAAGAAAUUCAAACCUAAACACAUCAAAGUCAAAUUUCUAAAAACCAGAGAUAAUAAAACAUUGCCAGCCUGGCCAACAUGGUGAAGUCUCGUCUCUACAAAAAUAAAAAAUGAGCGAGUAUAGUGCCACACGCCUGUAAUCCCAGCUACUCAGGAAGCUGAGCAGAAUUGCUUGAACCUGGGAGGCACAGAGGUUGCAGUGAGCCGAGAUCACACCAUUGCCCUCCAGCCUGGGCAACAGAGCGAGACUCAAUCUCAAAAGAAAAGACAUGGGUAAAUACAAUAGACGUUCCUUCUCUUGAGUUCCAAUCAUGUUGGAUGGUUAAGCAAAGGCUAUAAAACUGUCUGAAGUAGUUCAAAGUUUAUGUAGAGGAAGUAGUUAAGAUAACUAUAAAUGGAUGAGGGCAAAUGGACAUAGAGGUGAGGUUUCUAUACUUAACUUGAAGUGGUAAAAUGACAUCAGUAGACUGUAAGUUAUGUGCCGAGAACAGCCCGUAAAAAACAACCUAUACUAAGAGAUACACUGGAACACACUACUGACAAAUCAAAAUGGAAUUCUAAAACACUUACAUAACCCAUAGGAAAGCAGGUUGGGAAAAACAAAGAAAUCAGAAACAGAACAGAUGGGAAGAAGUAAAAUGACGGACUUUACAUUCAACGUAAAUGGUCUAAAUAAGCCAAUUAAGAGAGAAAGAUUGGCCAGGUGCAGUGGCUCACUCCUGUCAUGUCAGCACUUUGGGAGCUGAGGCAGGUGUAUCACUUGAAGUCAGGAGUUCAAAAUCAGCCUGGCCAUCAUGGCAAAACCCUCUCUUUACUAAAAAUACAACAAUUAGCCAGGCAUGGUGGUGCAUGCCUGUAAUCCCAGCUACUCGGGAAGCUGAGGCUACAGGGACCCAAGACAUGCCACUGCACUCCAGCCUGGGUGACACAACAAGACCCUAUCUCAAAAAAAAAAAAAAAAGAUAGUAACUUAAAUAUAUGCAUAAUGAGCUUAUGCCCUGAUAAAUGCAGCAUAAGUUGAAAAUGUAAGUCAAAAAUGCGUUUAGUACACCUACCAGACAUCCGUCGUAGCUCAGCCUAGCCUACUACCUUAAACGUGCUCAGAACACGUACAAUUGACUACACUGGGCAAAAUCACCUAGCACAGGCCUGUUUAUAUACAGUGUUGAAUAUGUCAUUUACUGAAUACUGUAUGAAAGUGAAAACAGGAUGGUUGUCUGGGCAUUCACAGUGUGGUUUCUACCAAGUGCGUAUCCCUCUCACCAUUGUAAAGCUGAAAAACUGUCAGUGGAACUCUCAUAAGUUAGGGACCCUCUGUAUAGGCAGGUUGAACGUAAAAGGAUAGAAAAAAAUAGGUGACUAUUAAUGAAAAUCAAGGAUGCAUUGUAUUAACCUCAAAGUAGGCCUCAGUGCAAAAAUUAUUGGAGACAAAGACGGACAAUGAGAAAAGAAUCAACCUGCCAAACAGACGUAGCAAUCCUAAGUGUGUGCACUAAGCACAGAUCUGCAAAACGUGAAGAAAAAGAACUGAAAGGAGAGCUCGACAAAUCAACAAUUACGGCUGGAUGUUUCAACACCCUUCUCUCAACAGUAGAUAGAAUAACUAGAUGGAAAUUCAGCAAGAACAUAAAGGGGCACCAUCAUCGACAGGCAGGGCCUAAUGAUGUUUAUAGAAUAUGCCACCCAUUGCACUGAAUGACCUGUCACAUUUUCUGGGAUGUAGUUAAACUAGUGAUGAGAGAGAAAGCACCAAAUGCAUACAUUAGAAAAGAGACGUGAGAGGUUAGAAAAGAGGAAGGCUCUUAAAUCAAUAAUCUGACGUCAGCUGGGUGCCGUGGAUGCAUCUGUAGUCCCACCUACUCGGGAGGCUGAGGUGGGAGGACUGUGUGAACCCAGGACGUUAACACCAGCCUCUUGCCAUCAGGCAGCACAGGAAGACCCCAUCGCUUAAAAAAUAAUAAUCUAGCUCAAGAUCACAUUAAUAACUAGGAAAAAAUUUAAAGCAAGGAGCAGUAAGAAAAUAGUAAAAAGCAGAAAAUGAAACUGAAAACAAACAAUAGAGAAACUUAUUGAAACAAAGAGAUGGUUCUUUUAAAAGACCAAUAAAAUCAGCAACCCUCUAGUAAGAAUAACGAAAGGAGAAGAUACAAUUGCCAAUAUCAAAAAUGAAAAAAGAGGUUGGGUGUGGUGGCUCAUGCCUGAAAUCACUGCACUUUGGGAGGCCAAGGCGGGUGGAUCAACUCAGGAAUUCAAGACCAGCAUGGCCAACGUUGUGAAACCCGGUCUCUAUUAAAAAUACAAAAACUUUGCUGGGCAUGGUGGCGGGUGCCUGUAGUCCCAGCUACUUGGGAGGCUGAAACACGAGAAUUGCUCGAGCCGAGACUGCAGCACUGCACUCCAGCCUGGGCAACACCACAGGAUUCUGUCUCGAAACGAAAAAGAGAUGUCAUUACAGACCCUGCAAUCUGAAAAGGAUAAUAAGUGACUACGACAAACAUCUACAUACAUAAAUUUUAUAACUUGGACGAAAUAGACCAAUUUCUCAAAAAACACAAACUACCACAACUCACCUGGUAUGAAAUAAUAAUUUAAAUAGCCCUAUAACUAGAAAUUGAAUUUGUAAUUUUAAACUCCAAAAAGAAAUAUCCAGGCUCAGAUGGUUUCACUGGAGAAUUCUAAGAUUAAUUUCCCAGAAAAUUGAAGGAAAAGCAUCAAUUUAUGUUUUAUUUAUUUAUUUUUUGAGACAGGUUCUCACUCUGUCACCCAGGCUGGAGUGCAAUGGCACAAACAUGGCUCACUGCAGCCUCGACCUCCUGAGCUCAAAUUAUCCUCCCGCCUCAGCCUCCCAGGUAGCUGGGACCACAGGCCCACACCACCACGCCUCACUAAUUUUUUUAGUUUUUGUAGAGACAGGAUCUUGCCAUGGUGCCCUGGCUGGUCCCAAACUCCUGGGCUCAGGCAGUCCUCCCACCUCAGCCUCCCAAAGUGCUGGGAUUACAAGCAUGAGCCACUGUACCCAGCCUCAAUUUAUUUUAUGAAGCUAGUGGUUCUCUGAUACCAAAACCACACAAAGAUAAUACAAGAAAAUAAUAUUACAAGCCAAUAUCCCUCAGUGAUAUAGACACAAAAUUUUUUAACAAAAUAUUACUAAAUAGACUGGGCACAGUGGCUCACACUUGUAAUCCCAACACUUUGGGAGGCCGAGGCGAGCAGAUCACCUGAGGUCAGGAGUUCAAGACCAGCCUGGCCAACAUGGUGAAACCCCGUCUUUGCUAAAAAUACAAAAAUUAGCCAGGCAUGGUGGUGGGUGCCUAUAAUCCCAGCUACUCAGCAGGUGGAGGUUGCAGUAAGCAGAGAUGGUGCCACUGCACUCCAGCCUCGGCAACAGAGUGAGACUCUGCCUCAAAAAAAAAAAAUUACUAAAUAGAAUUUGGCAAUAUAUAACAAAGAAUUCUACACCAUGACCAAGUAGGGAUUAUUCCAGGGAUGAAGGUUGGUUCCGUAUUUGAGAAUCAGUUGAUGAGAUCCACACGUUACCAGCUACCGAAGAUAACUCACACGAUCACAUCUGUCAGUGUGGGGAAGGCCCUUGACAAGUUUAACAUCUAUUCAUGAUUUAAACUUGGAAAAACAGAGAAGGAGAGGAACUUUCUCCGCUGGAUAAAGAGCAUCUGUACAAGCCCUGCAGCCAGCAUUCUCCUCGAGGGGAAGGAAUCACCCUUCACCAUUCAGAUCCGGAACAAGAAAGGACGCCUGCUCUAACCAUCGGAUCCGGCAUGGUGCUGGAAGCACUGGGCACUGCAGUACGCAGCACAAGGAAAGAAAAGGCAUGUCGAUCACAAAGGAAGAAACGAAACUGCCUGUUUACAGAUGAUGUCGUUGUCUUUGUAGGAAAUCCCAAGGCAUCCACCAAAAACACUCCUAGAAUUAUGAAGCGAGGCCGGGCGCAGCGGCUCACACCUGCAAUCCCAGCACUGUGGGAGGCCAAGGCAGGCCAAUCACCUGAGGUUGGGAGUUCAAGAUCAGCCUGACUAACAUAGAGAAACCCCGUCUCUACUAAAAAAAAAAUUCAAAUUAGCCAGCCGUGGUGACGCAUGCCUGUAAUCCCAGCUACUCAGGAGGCUGAGGUAGGAGAAUUGCUUGAACCGGGGAGGCAGAGGUUACAGUGAGCUGAGAUUGCAUCACUGCACUCCAGCCUGGGCGACAGAGUGAAACUCCAUCUCAAAAGAAAAAAUAAGUGAGUUCAGCAAAGUCAGAAGACACAAGAUCAACCUAAAUGAUUCAAUAGUAUUCCUGUACGCUAGCAAUGAACACACAGACACCUAAAUUACAUACGCAGAACCACUUAAAACCACUCCAAAAAGCGAAAUACUUAGGUAUAAACCUGACAAAACAUGCACAGAACUUACAUGCUGAAAACUCAGCAGUGCUGCUGAAAGACGUCAGCACACACCUAGAGACACGGCCGCGUUCGUGGGUUACAAGACACAACAACGUGGAGAUGACAGGUCCUUCCAGAUUGAUGGACAGGUUUAAUGCAAUUCCUAUUUUAAAAAACCCAGCAAGAUGUGUUAAUGGGUAAGGACAAGUCAUCCCAAGUUUUCUAUGGAAAUGUAAAGGAGCGAAAAUAGCUAAAACUAUUUUGAAAGAGAACAAGGUGGAACGAAUCAAUCUACCCAGUUUCAAGACAUAGAACUACAGCAGUCAACACAGUGUGGUAUUGACAGAGGGACAGACAUGCAAUUCCAUGGAACACAACAGAGAACCCACAAAUACACCCAAACAAACAUGCCCGGAUGAGUUUUUUUU
RNA transcript from Pan troglodytes (chimpanzee), 8742 nucleotides. It is a transcript of the gene named lipase maturation factor 1, with no coding region annotated. The transcript has 11 exons. Lineage: Eukaryota; Metazoa; Chordata; Mammalia; Primates; Hominidae. The record is from RefSeq and is a predicted model, not a curated record.